RNAcentral lists this transfer RNA (67 nucleotides) under Ixodes scapularis (black-legged tick). It matches the Rfam family "tRNA". Rfam says of the family: Transfer RNA (tRNA) molecules are approximately 80 nucleotides in length. Their secondary structure includes four short double-helical elements and three loops (D, anti-codon, and T loops). The record is from Rfam by way of RNAcentral. Lineage: Eukaryota; Metazoa; Arthropoda; Arachnida; Ixodida; Ixodidae.
UCCUGGUUAGCUCAGUUGGUAGAGCGCUCCACUAAAACUGGAGAGGUCCCUGGUUCAGGACCAGGCG